AAAAAAGAAAAAAGAAAAAGAAAUGUUUUCUGUUCUAAAUAUUGAUUUUGGAAUCAUUGUGAUGUAUUUUCAACUAGUUAAAAUUUGAAUUAAGAUUUGAGAGUUUUCAAAUUUACCAAAGAAAUAAAGAUUUCAUCCCACUGUUGCUGUACAGUCAUCACAACACUGAUGCUUGGGACUUUUAAGGUGAGGGAUAGUGACAAUUUUGGAAUCACAAAAAAUUUGUAGACUCAAAAGUUGGCAACUUUGAUGAAUGAUGUAGCAACUAGCAAGUUCAUCCUGCUGUUGCUUUCCAGUAAUUGAGGUAGCCGUUAAAUAUAUUGUAGAUAUUUCCAAGUUUAAUAAGAUAGAAAAUUAUUUAAAAUAAUAAUAGAGGACGUGUGCAUGACAUUCCCUGUUAAUAGUUGCCUCAAUAUGUUCUGUUUUUCUGAUGUCAAGCAGUUAAUAAUAUAUUGCUAAAUGGUAUGUAUAACUUUAACUUCCUUAUUUUCUUUCACAUUGAAAAUGAAUUCCCAUAUUCAAUUCCACUAUUUCUCUAGCAUGUUCUUACCGAGAUUACAUGCCUUGCUUCUGUGAAAUUGGAGAUCAUGCUUUCUGGUUGAUUGCAGACUGCUCAGUUUUCUUUUCUGGUUGCUUUUAUUUAUCCAUUUCUGAACUUGAUGGCAAUUAUUUGCAUCUUCUGCUUAACCUGAUAUUCUAUAAUUUUACUUUAGAUGAAUUGGUCUACUUUUUUAAGAGAAUCUUGCCGUUGUUUUUCACUGUACUAGGUGCUUCCUGUCAUGAUUGAUGUUGGAACCAACAAUGAGAAGCUGCUCAAAGACCCCUUGU
This 828-nucleotide unclassified non-coding RNA is filed under the name Hevea brasiliensis (rubber tree). Lineage: Eukaryota; Viridiplantae; Streptophyta; Magnoliopsida; Malpighiales; Euphorbiaceae. The record is from RNAcentral.